CGCUAGCGGCAGGCCUAACACAUGCAAGUCGAACGGUAACAUUUUCUAGCUUGCUAGAAGAUGACGAGUGGCGCACGGGUGAGUAACGCGUAUACAAUCUACCUUUUACAGGGGGAUAGCCUUUAGAAAUGAAGAUUAAUAUCCCAUAGUAAGUAGUUUUGGCAUCAGAACAACUUUAAAGUUUCGGCGGUAAAAGAUGAGUAUGCGUUCUAUUAGCUAGAUGGUGUGGUAACGGCACACCAUGGCAACGAUAGAUAGGGGCCCUGAGAGGGG
This 273-nucleotide ribosomal RNA is filed under the name CFB group bacterium OI-20-1. RNAcentral describes it as "partial 16S ribosomal RNA". It matches the Rfam family "Bacterial small subunit ribosomal RNA", at positions 34 to 301 of the family's 1533-position model. Lineage: Bacteria; Pseudomonadati; Bacteroidota. The record is from RNAcentral.